GACGAACGCUGGCGGCGUGCUUAACACAUGCAAGUCGAACGGUAAGGCUCCAGCUUGCUGGGGUACACGAGUGGCGAACGGGUGAGUAACACGUGGGUGACCUGCCCUGCACUUCGGGAUAAGCCUGGGAAACUGGGUCUAAUACCGGAUAGGACUGCACCGUGAGGGUGUGGUGGAAAGUUUUUUCGGUGUGGGAUGGGCCCGCGGCCUAUCAGCUUGUUGGUGGGGUAAUGGCCUACCAAGGCGGCGACGGGUAGCCGGCCUGAGAGGGUGGACGGCCACAUUGGGACUGAGACACGGCCCAGACUCCUACGGGAGGCAGCAGUGGGGAAUAUUGCACAAUGGGCGGAAGCCUGAUGCAGCGACGCCGCGUGGGGGAUGACGGCCUUCGGGUUGUAAACUCCUUUCACCAUCGACGAAGGGUUUCUGACGGUAGAUGGAGAAGAAGCACCGGCUAACUACGUGCCAGCAGCCGCGGUAAUACGUAGGGUGCGAGCGUUGUCCGGAAUUACUGGGCGUAAAGAGCUCGUAGGUGGUUUGUCGCGUCGUCUGUGAAAUUCCGGGGCUUAACUCCGGGCGUGCAGGCGAUACGGGCGUAACUUGAGUACUGUAGGGGAGACUGGAAUUCCUGGUGUAGCGGUGAAAUGCGCAGAUAUCAGGAGGAACACCGGUGGCGAAGGCGGGUCUCUGGGCAGUAACUGACGCUGAGGAGCGAAAGCAUGGGGAGCGAACAGGAUUAGAUACCCUGGUAGUCCAUGCCGUAAACGGUGGGCGCUAGGUGUGGGUUUCCUUCCACGGGAUCCGUGCCGUAGCUAACGCAUUAAGCGCCCCGCCUGGGGAGUACGGCCGCAAGGCUAAAACUCAAAGGAAUUGACGGGGGCCCGCACAAGCGGCGGAGCAUGUGGAUUAAUUCGAUGCAACGCGAAGAACCUUACCUGGGCUUGACAUAUACAGGAUCGCGCCAGAGAUGGUGUUUCCCUUGUGGCUUGUAUACAGGUGGUGCAUGGUUGUCGUCAGCUCGUGUCGUGAGAUGUUGGGUUAAGUCCCGCAACGAGCGCAACCCUUGUCUUAUGUUGCCAGCACGUUGUGGUGGGGACUCGUAAGAAACUGCCGGGGUUAACUCGGAGGAAGGUGGGGAUGACGUCAAAUCAUCAUGCCCCUUAUGUCCAGGGCUUCACACAUGCUACAAUGGUCGGUACAGUGGGUUGCCAGUCCGUGAGGGCGAGCUAAUCCCGCAAAGCCGGUCUCAGUUCGGAUCGGGGUCUGCAACUCGACCCCGUGAAGUCGGAGUCGCUAGUAAUCGCAGAUCAGCAACGCUGCGGUGAAUACGUUCCCGGGCCU
Molecule: ribosomal RNA, 1341 nt
Filed under: uncultured bacterium
Lineage: Bacteria
Description: partial 16S ribosomal RNA
Rfam family: Bacterial small subunit ribosomal RNA
Source: RNAcentral